UACAAAGAUCUGAUGGAAUUUCGGCAUUUUU
RNAcentral lists this non-coding RNA (31 nucleotides) under Rattus norvegicus (Norway rat). The record is from RNAcentral. Lineage: Eukaryota; Metazoa; Chordata; Mammalia; Rodentia; Muridae.